UUUAAUUCCCGCUCACUCAUCCCAAUUACAGAAAAACAAAAACUAAAACACAAAAACACUUGUAUCUCUCUUUCUCUAUUACACAAAAACACUCAUCUCUCACAACUGUACUCGUCUCUCUCUCCUGGCUCGUCUCUCUUGGCGUCUCUCUCCGAGCUAAUCCGCUCAUCUCUCCCGGCGUCUCUCUUCGACCAUCUCAACUUAGAAAACAGUUGGUGGUUUACCGCAUUAUUGGUUUAAUUCCAAGCGCAGAAUAUCUCUCACUUUAAUUUACUCGGAACAGAACAGUCGGUGGUUAACCGUGCAAUCAAUGACAUCUGCAUCCUUCUGCAGUGUAGUCGCCACAAUCUGAAUGUAGUAUAUAUCAUGAGUGUUGCCAAAUAUAUAUUGCUUGUGGAGAAAGAAUCAGGUUAAACAUUUCUUAUGCAGACUGCCAUUAUCAUUGUUCUUACCUUAAAUUUAAGUAACUAUUUAAUUGGGUUUAAUGCAGUUUUUCAGCGACUAUCCAAUGAUUAGUUCUGCAAGAAAAACCUAGUGUAUUGUCAUCACAACAAGUCUAGAACUGAAGCAUUGUUGCGUAAAUGUUACUUGGAAAGAGAAGUGCCAGAAUGGAGGUUGGACCUGGAGUUGUUGCUGCAAAGAGGAGUCAAAUUUGAGAUUGAAGCAUUGUCAGCACGCUCACUUUCUUUCUUGUCAGAGGUUUACCUGCCAUCUAAGAUUGAAGAGAUCGGUACUUGGCAAGUUUGACUGAAAAUAUCCAAGAUCAACUUGCUCAAGAGAUGGAAGAAAAAAUGGAUCAGAAAGUUCGGGAGAAUGUUAAGGCGAUGGUGUCCAAGUUGGCAGAAAAGAAUCCAGACCUCAAGACUGAUAUUGAAGACCUCAGUGUCGAGCCGACGUAUGAUGCCUAUGCAAGUGCAGCGAACACAGCCAACACGGAGACUGCUUGAUGUGAUGUGUGAUGUACUUAGAUACUCUUAUCUUAUUUUGCAAAGUUUAACUUGUAAUGUAAUCAUGACGUAAGAAUUUUAUGAAUUUGAACUGCUAUUUUUGUUGGAUGGUUGAAUUUUGAUUGUUGCAAAACUUGGAUGAAUGGUUUAUGGUUGAA
Molecule: long non-coding RNA, 1105 nt
Organism: Daucus carota subsp. sativus
Lineage: Eukaryota; Viridiplantae; Streptophyta; Magnoliopsida; Apiales; Apiaceae
Exons: 6
Source: RefSeq, a predicted model, not a curated record